This is a long non-coding RNA of Astatotilapia calliptera (eastern happy), 800 nucleotides long. The record is from Ensembl. NCBI's taxonomy places the organism in Eukaryota, Metazoa, Chordata, Actinopteri, Cichliformes, Cichlidae.
CGGUGGAGCUCGGCGAGCCACCAGCGGAGGGGCUCUCGCUGCCAGCCGCGGAGGGACCCGCUCAGCCGGAGGUCAGCGAACCGGAGGGACCUCCACGUCUAGCGCGGCCUCCACGCCAUCCACGUCCAGUGGGUCCACGUCAGCGACCGGCGCGUCAUAGACCAUGUGCCACGCCUCGCUGUUGCUCACUGGAGCAGCGACGCCGCCACCGGAUCCGUGGCAGGCCACCAGAACCGUUCCGCCGCCACCGGACCCGUGGCAGGCCGCCGGAGGAGCAGCGCCGCCGCCACCAGAUCCGUGGCAGGCCACCAGAACCGUUCCGCCGCCACCGGACCCGUGGCAGGCCGCCGGAGGAGCAGCGCCGCCGCCACCGGAUCCGUGGCAGGCCACCUGAAGCGUUCCGCUUCCAUCAUGGGGUUGGAGGUAGGCCGCCCGAACUGUUUUCCCACCACUGCCUGACCCGUAGCGAGUUUUGCCUGCUUGCGGUCCACUGGGUCGGCCGCAAGAACUGUUGUUCCCACCAUGGCAGUGGUUGGACAUUUGAACUGGGGUUUUGGGGCCCUCCGUCCGGGACCCCCCGCCUGGUGGGUGUGGCCCUGCCAGCUGACCGGUCCCACCCAGGAAUCCACACACACCUGGCGCCGAUCAAGCCUCGUCAGAGGAGCUUCAAAACAGUGUGGCUGAGAGCUCCUCGACGCUGGAUCGUUGAGUGACUUCCCGAGGAAUUGUGGCGACCAGGAGGCAGCACACGGAGAGUACACAGGGAACGGAGACAGAGCACGGAGCACGGGAUAAAGGAG